Puntigrus tetrazona (Sumatra barb) is the source of this 725-nucleotide long non-coding RNA. RefSeq lists it as uncharacterized. NCBI's taxonomy places the organism in Eukaryota, Metazoa, Chordata, Actinopteri, Cypriniformes, Cyprinidae. The transcript is spliced from 3 exons. The record is from RefSeq and is a predicted model, not a curated record.
GACAUCAUAGUGGAAAAAAACCAGCAGCACAAACAUUAUAACUGAAAGGUGAUGAAGGUAGUGAUCUCAUGGGGGAAGAGUUUCUGGAACAGUAGCGGGGGAAGGAGAGAAGGUCUGCAUCCAACUGUGAGGCCACAUUCUUGGCUCUGGAUAGCUCCGGAGACGUCACCCGGGUCAUGAGGUGUUUCGCAUAACAAGGGCGUUUUGAUGUUAAAGGCAAUUCAUCAAGCAUUACUUCUGCUCCCAGAGGCCAUAGCAGCACAGAGCGAAGAGGAAAAUGGACUCGUACGAUAUAAUCCUUAUUUGAUCUUAACAGAUCCAUUCUCUUUAAACGUUGUUUGCAGGAUCAGAUAGCAGCCCCUCGGUGUGUUCAAAAUGGGUGCUUUCCAAAAGAUAGAGGAAUUUGGGUCACAUUUUAAAAUAACUCCACUCAUGUGCUGCUCUAACUAAUCUGCAGAUUCAAAAUAAUCCCCUAAUGCUGUAAUAACCCUUUAUAUAAUUAUGUAUGGCUUUUAUUCACAAUAUAUGUAAUAGUUUGAAUAAACUGUUACAUUCAGCGGUCCAUCUGGCCAGUGUUAGCAUGGACAAUUAUUCCUAAACUGGUUGUGAAUCAGGUUAUGACCUACAGGGCAAUGGAGGGAAUCUGUGAUGGUGAGCUUUUUUGUUUAAUAUUAAUGUUUACUACAACAUGGCUAUGGCACUAACUGGUCUAUUGUAAUGUGCAU